RNAcentral lists this transfer RNA (87 nucleotides) under Spirodela intermedia. RNAcentral describes it as "tRNA-Tyr". It matches the Rfam family "tRNA". Rfam says of the family: Transfer RNA (tRNA) molecules are approximately 80 nucleotides in length. Their secondary structure includes four short double-helical elements and three loops (D, anti-codon, and T loops). The record is from RNAcentral. Lineage: Eukaryota; Viridiplantae; Streptophyta; Magnoliopsida; Alismatales; Araceae.
CCGACCUUAGCUCAGUUGGUAGAGCGGAGACUGUAGUAGGUACUGCCAGAUAUCCUUAGGUCGCUGGUUCGAAUCCGGCAGGUCGGA